This 490-nucleotide ribosomal RNA is filed under the name uncultured bacterium. RNAcentral describes it as "partial 16S ribosomal RNA". It matches the Rfam family "Bacterial small subunit ribosomal RNA", at positions 30 to 507 of the family's 1533-position model. The record is from RNAcentral.
AUUGAACGCUGGCGGCAGGCCUAACACAUGCAAGUCGAACGGUAACAGGAAGAAGCUUGCUUCUUUGCUGACGAGUGGCGGACGGGUGAGUCAUGUCUGUGAAACUGCCUGAUGGAGGGGGAUAACUACUGGAAACGGUAGCUAAUACCGCAUAACGUCGCAAGACCAAAGAGGGGGACCUUCGGGCCUCUUGCCAUCGGCUGUGCCCAGAUGGGAUUAGCUAGUAGGUGGGGUAACGGCUCACCUAGGCGACGAUCCCUAGCUGGUCUGAGAGGAUGACCAGCCACACUGGAACUGAGACACGGUCCAGACUCCUACGGGAGGCAGCAGUGGGGAAUAUUGAACAAUGGGCGAAAGCCUGAUGCAGCCAUGCCGCGUGUAUGAAGAAGGCCUUCGGGUUGUAAAGUACUUUCAGCGGGGAGGAAGGGAGUAAAGUUAAUACCUGUGCUCAUUGACGUUACCCGCAGAAGAAGCACCGGCUAACUCCGUG